This 253-nucleotide ribosomal RNA is filed under the name uncultured bacterium. RNAcentral's name for it is "partial 16S ribosomal RNA". It matches the Rfam family "Bacterial small subunit ribosomal RNA", at positions 524 to 776 of the family's 1533-position model. The record is from RNAcentral.
GACAGAGGGUGCAAACGUUGCUCGGAAUCACUGAACGUAAAGGACGUGUAAACGGGAAUGUAAGUCGGGCGUGAAAUCCCUAGGCUCAACCUAGGAACUGCACUCGAAACUGCGUUUCUUGAGUAUCGGAGAGGAAAGCGGAAUACCUGGUGUAGAGGUGAGAUUCGUAGAUAUCAGGUGGAACACCAGUAACGAAGGCGGCUUUCUGGACGAUAACUGACGCUGAGACGCGAAAGCGUGGGGAGCAAACAGG